AACAUAGAAAAAAGAAUCACAGAAGAAUAUAUAACAAAUAUAAUCAAAAAUGCAAAUUGUUCUACAUUUUUAGGUAAUAUUGAAUGUGAAAUAUCAAAAUUAAAUUUAAAUCAAUGCUGUUUACAAAUAAUUAAAAAUCUCGGAAAUUCUAAUCAAGUGAAAAUUGCUAAUGAAUAUAGUUAAAGAUCUGUUGCUUGGAAAGAAGAAAUAAGUUAAGAGUAACAGGUUCAAGAUGUUAUUCUAUAAUAUGUAUACUUAUGCAAAGGACGACUGGGAACAAAAAUCCCUCAAUUAUUUCUUUCUCAAAGAGUUUAUGUCAAAAUACACUGAAUAUGGAAUUAUUAAUGAACCAAAUGCAUUAGAAUGUUACAGAAAAACUACCAAACAUAAAAUCGUAACUCCUGGUCUCAUAGUAUGCAAAAAUUUCCCUUGGCUAGCGUACUCACCUGAUGGGAUUCUUAUAAUUGAUGGAAAACCAAGUAUUUUAUUAGAAAUUAAGUGUCCUUAUUCAGGCAAUGAAGUGGAAAGAAAAGAUUUAGUGAACAUGUGCGAUUACCUGAUUUUAAAUGAAAACACUGCCUUGACUUUAAGGAAAAAACACAGAAUUUACAGCCAAAUACAGUUUGGAAUGGCUUUACUAAAUGUAAAUGAAACACAUUUAGUAAUUUAUUCAAAAUUUUCAAACUCAUUUUUACAAAUUCUGGUAAAUUUUGACGAGUUAUAUGCCAAAAAUCUUUUAGAAACUGUUACUAAUAGAUUUUUAGGUAAUAUGUUACAUUUUUUUUUGUUUAAAUAAAUGAAUGCAAAUU
Tribolium madens (black flour beetle) is the source of this 809-nucleotide long non-coding RNA. RefSeq lists it as uncharacterized. The record is from RefSeq and is a predicted model, not a curated record. Lineage: Eukaryota; Metazoa; Arthropoda; Insecta; Coleoptera; Tenebrionidae. The transcript is spliced from 3 exons.